RNAcentral lists this ribosomal RNA (301 nucleotides) under uncultured bacterium. RNAcentral describes it as "partial 16S ribosomal RNA". It matches the Rfam family "Bacterial small subunit ribosomal RNA", at positions 509 to 807 of the family's 1533-position model. The record is from RNAcentral.
CAGCCGCCGCGGUAAUACGUAGGGCGCAAGCGUUAUCCGGAAUCAUUGGGCGUAAAGAGCUCGUAGGCGGUUUGUCGCGUCUGCCGUGAAAGUCCGGGGCUCAACCCCGGAUCUGCGGUGGGUACGGGCAGACUAGAGUGAUGUAGGGGAGACUGGAAUUCCUGGUGUAGCGGUGAAAUGCGCAGAUAUCAGGAGGAACACCGAUGGCGAAGGCAGGUCUCUGGGCAUUAACUGACGCUGAGGAGCGAAAGCAUGGGGAGCGAACAGGAUUAGAUACCCCUGUAGUCCCUGUCUCUUAUAC